Ictalurus punctatus (channel catfish) is the source of this 1487-nucleotide long non-coding RNA. RefSeq lists it as uncharacterized. Lineage: Eukaryota; Metazoa; Chordata; Actinopteri; Siluriformes; Ictaluridae. The transcript has 2 exons. The record is from RefSeq and is a predicted model, not a curated record.
UGCUCUGAUGCUCACAGGCUUUGCGAAACAAAAUAGAAAUGUAAGUCUGGUUCAAACCAAAUAUAGACAUGAGCUGUGACUACUAUGAUUAAGAUCUAAAUUUGGUUUGGACUAUGCUCACAUUUCUGAUGGAUAAUUUUUUAUGGCAGCGAGUAUUGUUAUACAGCGAACAAGUAUAACCAUAAAAACAAUCUCUGCGCAUUAUGGAUUGAAUCUGAUAGAUCGCGCAUCUGUAGAUCACUCCAGGUCAACAGAUGAGUUCAGGCAGACAGUUUAAUGACCUUCACUCUAGUCUCCCAAAAAGCUUGCGCUGAAAGGCUUUAGCUUGUGCGGAGAGAGAAUGCUAGGUUUGGCACCUCAAACAGACAGAUUCAGUAGCUAAAAUUGUUGCAGUUUACUGGAUUACAGGGAUGAGAUGAGUCUGUGUGAUGUGGACUUCAAGGGAAUGAACUUGUCCUCAUGGCUGUUUAGAGCAUGACUCAGAGGGCCUUCAGUCUCUUGCUAAGGACUUUUUCAUGGUUGAGCGGAUUGAGGAUAGUGUUGGUGGUGCUGCUUAAAGAGGUAGCAUGAGUGGAUACUCACUUUCCCUCAUGGAUCCCAGUGGGUUUUGCUGUCCUCUUACCACUUUAUGAAGAUGAGACAGGAGCUGAAGAGAAACUAUAAUGGUAUUUGUUGUUUUGCAGAUGGGGCUGAGAAAUAUGGAGUACAAAACAAUACCAGGAGUCACCUACUGUAUACAUUGAUAAACCCUUUUACUCAAAGUGACUUAAACCAUCUAUUUAAAGUGACUUCGGCUAGUUAUCCCCAUUGACUUAAGCUAUUUAUUCAAAAUUACUUAAACUAUUUAUCCAAUGUGAUGUAAACAAUUUAUUUAAAGUGAUAUAAGCCAAUCCCUACCAAGUGUAUAAAUCCACAGCCAUCAUUUGACCUCAUCAGUCUUGCUCCAUGUUUUAAAUUUUCAUUCUGAUUUAUCCUGGUUAGGGUCAAGGUGGAUCUGAAGCCUUUCCUGGGAAUACUGGGUGCAAGUUUUGCUGGAAGAAGUGGAAGGAUUGCGUUUCCACAUCUCAUAUGUGGCAGAGGAGGAGGACAAUGGGAAAGGAAGAUGAAAAAUGUAGAAACAAGAAAAAAGGCCAAAUGGAACAUGAUACUGAUAGGUGAAAAGAACAUACACAAACUCAAAUAAAUAUCAGUGUACUGUAGUGCAGUACCAUGACUCAUGAUGACAAUCUUUGAUUCUACCUCAGUCAAGACAGCAGAGCUGCCUUCUCCACAUAACAGUCUGCUCUCAUGUGAUAUUAACUGAUACGCACUCUAGCAGUCAUGCAAUAGUGAAAUUUCUGUGUGCUGACAUAUUGAAACACCGAUGUGUUAUGCGAUAAAUACUUGUUACUAUACAUGUACUGAAAAAUGUGGCCACUGGUCUGCAUAUGGAAAGAUCUUCUAUAAUGCACAGCAGAAUUGAAAAGGCUGAGUGUUUGGGGGAGUGG